This 1557-nucleotide long non-coding RNA is filed under the name Calidris pugnax (ruff). Its description in RNAcentral is "lncRNA (ENSCPUG00000010630.1)". Lineage: Eukaryota; Metazoa; Chordata; Aves; Charadriiformes; Scolopacidae. The record is from RNAcentral.
AUGGGAAUGGGGAGGGACAUGCGUGGACAUGGGGGGACAGAGGGACACGGAAAGACAGAGGGACACGGAGGGACAGAGGGACACGCGUGGACAUGGGGGACAGAGGGACAUGGGAAUGGGGAGGGACAUGCGUGGACAUGGGGGGACAGAGGGACACGGAAAGACAGAGGGACACGUGUGGAUGUGGGGGAGAGGGACACAUGUGGACACGGAGGGACAGAGGGACAUGGGAAUGGGAGGGAUGGGUGUGGACAUGGAGGACAGAGGGACACGGAGGGACAGAGGGACACGCGUGGACGUGGGGGACAGAGGGACAGGGAGGGACAGAGAGAUACGUGUGGACACAGAGGGACACAGGGGACAGAGGGACACAUGUGGAUGUGGGGGACAGAGGGACACACGUGGACACAGAGGGACACGGGGGACAUGGAAAGACAGAGGGACACACGUAGACACGGAGGGACAGAGGGACACAGCCAGAGGGACACGCAUGGACAUGGAGGGACAGGGACACGGAGGGACAGAGGGACACAUGUGGACACGGAGGGACACGUGUGGACAUGGGGGGACAGAGAGACACGGAGGGAUGGAGGGACACACGUGGACAUGGGGGACAGAGGGAUACACAAAGGGACAGAGGGACACGUGUGGACACUGGGGGACAGACAGACACAGGGGGACGCGCGUAGACACAGGGGGACGCGCGUAGACACAGGGGGACAACAGAGGGACAUGCAUGGAUGUGGGGGGACAGAGGGACACGGAGGGACAGAGAGACACAUGUGGACACGGAGGGACAGAGGGACACGUGUGGACAUGGAGGGACACGUGUGGACAUGCGUGGACGUGGGGGGACAGAGGGACACGGAAAGACAGGGACACACAUGGAUACAGGGGGACAGAGGGACACGGAGGGACAGAGGGACAUGGGAAUGGGAGGGAUGGGUGUGGACAUGGAGGACAGAGGGACACGGAGGGACAGAGGGACACGGAAAGACAGAGGGACACGUGUGGAUGUGGGGGAGAGGGACACAUGUGGACACGGAGGGACAGAGGGACAUGGGAAUGGGAGGGAUGGGUGUGGACAUGGAGGACAGAGGGACACGGAGGGACAGAGGGACAUGGGAAUGGGAGGGAUGGGUGUGGACAUGGAGGACAGAGGGACACGGAGGGACAGAGGGACAUGGGAAUGGGAGGGAUGGGUGUGGACAUGGAGGACAGAGGGACACGGAGGGACAGAGGGACACACGUGGACACAGAGGGACACGGGGGACAUGGAAAGACAGAGGGACACACGUAGACACGGAGGGACAGAGGGACACAGCCAGAGGGACACGCAUGGACAUGGAGGGACAGGGACACGGAGGGACAGAGGGACACAUGUGGACACGGAGGGACACGUGUGGACAUGGGGGGACAGAGAGACACGGAGGGAUGGAGGGACACACGUGGACAUGGGGGACAGAGGGAUACACAAAGGGACAGAGGGACACGUGUGGACACUGGGGGACAGACAGACACAGGGGGACGCGCGUAGACACAGGGGGACGCGCGUAG